ACACAUGCAGUCGAGCGAACCUUCGGGUUAGCGGCGGACGGGUGAGUAACGCGUGGGAACGUACCCUCUUCUGCGGGAUAGCCACUGGAAACGGUGAGUAAUACCGCAUACGCCCUUUGGGGGAAAGAUUUAUCGGAGGAGGAUCGGCCCGCGUUGGAUUAGGUAGUUGGUGGGGUAAUGGCCUACCAAGCCUACGAUCCAUAGCUGGUUUUAGAGGAUGAUCAGCCACACUGGGACUGAGACACGGCCCAGACUCCUACGGGAGGCAGCAGUGGGGAAUCUUAGACAAUGGGCGCAAGCCUGAUCUAGCCAUGCCGCGUGAGUGACGAAGGCCUUAGGGUCGUAAAGCUCUUUCGCCAGAGAUGAUAAUGACAGUAUCUGGUAAAGAAACCCCGGCUAACUCCGUGCCGGCAGCCGCGGUAAUACGGAGGGGGUUAGCGUUGUUCGGAAUUACUGGGCGUAAAGCGCACGUAGGCGGAUUGGAAAGUUGGGGGUGAAAUCCCAGGGCUCAACCCUGGAACGGCCUCCAAAACUCCCAGUCUAGAGUUCGAGAGAGGUGAGUGGAAUUCCGAGUGUAGAGGUGAAAUUCGUAGAUAUUCGGAGGAACACCAGUGGCGAAGGCGGCUCACUGGCUCGAUACUGACGCUGAGGUGCGAAAGUGUGGGGAGCAAACAGGAUUAGAUACCCUGGUA
This 692-nucleotide ribosomal RNA is filed under the name uncultured Roseobacter sp. RNAcentral describes it as "bacterial SSU rRNA". It matches the Rfam family "Bacterial small subunit ribosomal RNA", at positions 51 to 792 of the family's 1533-position model. The record is from RNAcentral. Lineage: Bacteria; Pseudomonadati; Pseudomonadota; Alphaproteobacteria; Rhodobacterales; Roseobacteraceae.